GAGGUAUGAGGAAAACACCUGAACAGUCUGAUUGUUACUAAGAAAAGAACACCUAAACUUGAAC
Molecule: small nucleolar RNA, 64 nt
Organism: Phyllostomus discolor (pale spear-nosed bat)
Lineage: Eukaryota; Metazoa; Chordata; Mammalia; Chiroptera; Phyllostomidae
Product: small nucleolar RNA SNORD19
Exons: 1
Source: RefSeq, a predicted model, not a curated record